This 1055-nucleotide ribosomal RNA is filed under the name uncultured organism. Its description in RNAcentral is "bacterial SSU rRNA". It matches the Rfam family "Bacterial small subunit ribosomal RNA", at positions 121 to 1209 of the family's 1533-position model. The record is from RNAcentral.
GGAACGUGCCCAGAUCUGCGGAAUAGCCACUGGAAACGGUGAGUAAUACCGCAUACGCCCUUCGGGGGAAAGAUUUAUCGGAUUUGGAUCGGCCCGCGUUAGAUUAGGUAGUUGGUGGGGUAAUGGCCUACCAAGCCUACGAUCUAUAGCUGGUUUUAGAGGAUGAUCAGCAACACUGGGACUGAGACGCGGCCCAGACUCCUACGGGAGGCAGCAGUGGGGAAUCUUAGACAAUGGGGGCAACCCUGAUCUAGCCAUGCCGCGUGAGUGAUGAAGGCCCUAGGGUCGUAAAGCUCUUUCGCCUGUGAUGAUAAUGACAGUAGCAGGUAAAGAAACCCCGGCUAACUCCGUGCCAGCAGCCGCGGUAAUACGGAGGGGGUUAGCGUUGUUCGGAAUUACUGGGCGUAAAGCGCGCGUAGGCGGAUCAGAAAGUUGGGGGUGAAAUCCCGGGGCUCAACCCCGGAACUGCCUCCAAAACUCCUGGUCUUGAGUUCGAGAGAGGUGAGUGGAAUUCCGAGUGUAGAGGUGAAAUUCGUAGAUAUUCGGAGGAACACCAGUGGCGAAGGCGGCUCACUGGCUCGAUACUGACGCUGAGGUGCGAAAGUGUGGGGAGCAAACAGGAUUAGAUACCCUGGUAGUCCACACCGUAAACGAUGAAUGCCAGUCGUCGGGUUGCAUGCAAUUCGGUGACACACCUAACGGAUUAAGCAUUCCGCCUGGGGAGUACGGUCGCAAGAUUAAAACUCAAAGGAAUUGACGGAGGCCCGCACAAGCGGUGGAGCAUGUGGUUUAAUUAGAAGCAACGUGCAGAACCUUACCUACCCUUGACAUGCCCGGUUUGGUCGCCAGAGAUGGCUUCCUUGAUUCGUUCGCCGGUGCACAGGUGUUGCAUGGCGGUCGUCAGCUGGUGUCGUGAGAUGUUGGGUUAAGUCCCGCAACGAGCGCAACCCUCAUCAUUAGUAGCCAUCAGGUUUGGCUGGGCACUCUAAGGAAACUGCCGGUGGCAAGCCGGAGGAAGGUGGGGAUGACGUCAAGUCCUCUUGGCCCUUACGGGU